UCAGGGGACGACAGAAGCAGAUACUAGAGUGAUGUGUCUACAAGGAAGAGAAUGCCCAGGAUUGCUGGCAACAACCAGAAGCUAAGAAGUGACAGAGAAAGAUUCUUCCCCGGAGCCCUGCUCCAGAAAACUGGCCCUGCUGACACCUCGAUGUUGGACUUCUAGUCUCCAGGACUGUGAGAGAAUCAGCUUCCAUUGUCUUAAACCACUCAGUUUCUGGAACUGGAGGGUAGGAUGGCGUAAACAUAUGUGUUUUGGAACUCAGUGUGAGAUGCAGAGGGGAAGUGAGGCUCCUGAUCAAAUCAUAAAACACGAGCAUUCAUUGCUCAGAUGCAGAGAUGAUAUCUUCAGGAACGAUGGGGCAAUCUCCAGUUGGCCUUUGGUUCAUCUAGCUGCUACGUCAAGAGCAGGGCCCCCCCGGAGUCCCAGACCAGUUCUUCAACCUCUGGAACCCUUCAGGAACCACUGUGGAACCAUUGCUGGUAGCUGACACCUGAGGAGCCGAAUCUUUUGUUUCACGUACUCUCUGUGGGAGCAGUGGUUCUUACCCCGGCCACACAAAAUCACCUGGGGAGCUUAUAUAAAUAUCCAUACCUGGGCCCAUCCCAGACCAAUGAAAUCAGCAUUUCUGGAAGCUGAAGACAGACAUUUUUCUUUUCUUUUCUUUUUUUUUUUAGAAAGUCCCCCCAGGUGAUACUAGUAUUGGACUUUCACUUGGCUCUCUUGCCCUGGGAGCCCAACCGCCAUGCUGUGAGGAAGCCCAAGGAAGCCUAUGGCCCAUGUCAAGGCCAUAGGCAUC
Lutra lutra (Eurasian river otter) is the source of this 799-nucleotide long non-coding RNA. RefSeq lists it as uncharacterized. The record is from RefSeq and is a predicted model, not a curated record. The transcript is spliced from 3 exons. NCBI's taxonomy places the organism in Eukaryota, Metazoa, Chordata, Mammalia, Carnivora, Mustelidae.